Molecule: small nucleolar RNA, 117 nt
Organism: Neogale vison (American mink)
Lineage: Eukaryota; Metazoa; Chordata; Mammalia; Carnivora; Mustelidae
Source: Ensembl
GCAUGGCUGAACACUGUGUUCUUUUUAUCCGUAGUAGACACAGCCAGAUUCCAAGCCAGUGCCUGAUGGUAUGGGGAGUUCUUUCAUAGCUUACUAUUUUCUAAGGUGGAUACAAAU